CAGAGAGAGAGAGCUCAGAGAAAACUCAGCAGAGACUGUUUUGGGGGUAAGACUAAAUUACUUUCCCAAAACCCUGAGACCUCCUAGAGAGGAGGGGUGGACUUCCAAACUCUUAGGGAGUCCCAAAAUGCAGCAGCAGCUAGAGAGAGAGAGAGAAGAGCUGAGAGCUCGGAGAUGUCCUGAGAGCUGGACCAGGACA
This is a long non-coding RNA of Neopelma chrysocephalum (saffron-crested tyrant-manakin), 199 nucleotides long. RefSeq lists it as uncharacterized. NCBI's taxonomy places the organism in Eukaryota, Metazoa, Chordata, Aves, Passeriformes, Pipridae. The transcript is spliced from 3 exons. The record is from RefSeq and is a predicted model, not a curated record.